This 432-nucleotide ribosomal RNA is filed under the name uncultured bacterium. RNAcentral's name for it is "partial 16S ribosomal RNA". It matches the Rfam family "Bacterial small subunit ribosomal RNA", at positions 29 to 507 of the family's 1533-position model. The record is from RNAcentral.
AACGAACGCUGGCGGCAGGCCUAACACAUGCAAGUCGAGCGCGCCCUUCGGGGUGAGCGGCGGACGGGUGAGUAACGCGUGGGAACGUGCCCUUUUCUACGGAAUAGCCUCGGGAAACUGAGAGUAAUACCGUAUACGCUCUCUCGGGAAAGAUUUAUCGGAAAAGGAUCGGCCCGCGUUGGAUUAGGUAGUUGGUGGGGGUAUGUCCUACUAAGGCGACGGUCCAUAGAUGGUAUGAGAGGAUGAGCAGCCACACUGGGACUGAGACACAGCCCAGACUCCUACGGGAGGCAGCAGUGGGGAAUCUUAGACAAUGGGGGCAACCCUGAACGAGCCAUGACGCGUGAGUGAUGAAGGCCGUAGGGUAGGAAAGCAAUUUCAGCUGGGAAGAUAAUGACGGUACCAGCAGAAGAAGCCCCGGCUAACUCCGUG